Molecule: ribosomal RNA, 447 nt
Filed under: uncultured bacterium
Lineage: Bacteria
Description: partial 16S ribosomal RNA
Rfam family: Bacterial small subunit ribosomal RNA
Source: RNAcentral
AACGAACGCUGGCGGCAGGCUUAACACAUGCAAGUCGAGCGCCCCGCAAGGGGAGCGGCAGACGGGUGAGUAACACGUGGGAACGUACCCUUUUCUACGGAAUAACGCAGGUAAACUUGUGCUAAUACCGUAUACGCCCUUCGGGGGAAAGAUUUAUCGGAGAAGGAUCGGCCCGCGUUGGAUUAGCUAGUUGGUGGGGUAAAGGCCUACCAAGGCGACGAUCCAUAGCUGGUCUGAGAGGAUGAUCAGCCACAUUGGGACUGAGACACGGCCCAAACUCCUACGGGAGGCAGCAGUGGGGAAUAUUGGACAAUGGGCGCAAGCCUGAUCCAGCCACGCCGCGUGAGUGAUGAAGGCCUUAGGGUUGUAAAGCUCUUUCACCGAUGAAGAUAAUGACGGUAGUCGGAGAAGAAGCCCCGGCUAACUUCGUGCCAGCCGCCGCGGUAA